Molecule: unclassified non-coding RNA, 326 nt
Filed under: Pseudactinobacillus ducreyi
Lineage: Bacteria; Pseudomonadati; Pseudomonadota; Gammaproteobacteria; Pasteurellales; Pasteurellaceae
Description: [Haemophilus] ducreyi Long range pseudoknot
Source: RNAcentral
ACAGAUGAAGGUGAUUAUCAAAUCAAAUUACGUAAUAUAUUACGUUUCUUAGAAGACGGAGAUAAAGUAAAAAUUACGGUUCGUUACCGUGGUCGUGAAAUGGCUCAUCAAGAAAUUGGUUUAGAUGUCUUAGAACGUGUUAAAACGGAUACGAGUGAAGUGGCAAUAGUUGAGUCAGCACCGGGAAAAUUAGAAGGUCGUCAAGCCGUUAUGGUGAUUGCACCGAAGAAAAAAUAAUUUUAUUCUUGCAUAAAAUGGGCGGAUCUUAUAAAAUCUGCCCGUUUCUUGUUAUAUAAAUAACAGAAAUAAAGUAAUCCACAGGCACA